GGAAGUAAAAGUCGUAAUAAGGUUUCCGUAGGUGAACCUGCGGAAGGAUCAUUCAUAAUAAAGUGUUUUAUGGCACUUUUUAAAAAUCCAUAUCCACCUUGUGUGCAAUGUUAGAUCUCGUCAAUCUUGGCGAGAUUUUUAUACAUCAACUCAUUCUUUAACUAAUUUGUCUGAAAAAUAUUAUGAAUACUUAAUUCAAAAUACAACUUUCAACAACGGAUCUCUUGGCUCUC
Molecule: unclassified non-coding RNA, 233 nt
Filed under: plant metagenome
Description: partial contains small subunit ribosomal RNA, internal transcribed spacer 1, and 5.8S ribosomal RNA
Rfam family: Eukaryotic small subunit ribosomal RNA (bases 1-54)
Source: RNAcentral